Molecule: ribosomal RNA, 429 nt
Filed under: uncultured bacterium
Lineage: Bacteria
Description: bacterial SSU rRNA
Rfam family: Bacterial small subunit ribosomal RNA
Source: RNAcentral
UGGGGAAUUUUGGACAAUGGGGGUAACCCUGAUCCAGCCAUUCCGCGUGUGCGAUGAAGGCCUUCGGGUUGUAAAGCACUUCUGGCAGGGAAGAAAUCGCAUGGAUUAAUACUCUGUGCGGAUGACGGUACCUGCAGAGUAAGCACCGGCUAACUACGUGCCAGCAGCCGCGGUAAUACGUAGGGUGCGAGCGUUAAUCGGAAUUACUGGGCGUAAAGCGUGCGCAGGCUGUUUUGUAAGUCAGAUGUGAAAUCCCUGAGCUCAACUUAGGAACUGCGUUUGAAACUACAAGACUAGAAUAUGUCAGAGGGGGGUAGAAUUCCACGUGUAGCAGUGAAAUGCGUAGAUAUGCGGAGGAACACCGAUGGCGAAGGCAAUCCCCUGGACCUGUACUGACGCUCAUGCACGAAAGCGUGGGGAGCAAACAGG